RNAcentral lists this transfer RNA (72 nucleotides) under Ichthyaetus relictus (relict gull). RNAcentral describes it as "tRNA-Trp". It matches the Rfam family "tRNA". Rfam says of the family: Transfer RNA (tRNA) molecules are approximately 80 nucleotides in length. Lineage: Eukaryota; Metazoa; Chordata; Aves; Charadriiformes; Laridae. The record is from RNAcentral.
AGAAACUUAGGAUAAUCUCCAAACCGAAGGCCUUCAAAGCCUUAAACAAGAGUUGAACCCUCUUAGUUUCUG